AUGGACGCCAGCGUCGAUGGACGAGGCCGAGGUCGUGUAAGAUUGGGCCUCGCCGGCCGCGGGAGAGCUCGUCCUGGGACGAUCCAAUGGAACCCGGAGCAUCCUGUCGGUGUAGGACGAGGCCAUGGAAGAGGUGCACCACACCCACUGGGCCGUGGACGAGGACGACUUGGCCUUGCUGGGCGAGGACGCGGUGGCAUCGACUUGAACGUGGCUGCAUCCAUGGGCAGCGACCUCGACGGUGCAGGUGAUUCGGCAAACCAUGUAGUGUACGGUCGAGGGCGCGGUGUCAUCGACUUGAACAUGGCAGCGUCCACGUACAUCGACGACGACGGUGCUGGGGGUGAUGGCCAUGGCGGCGGCGAUGAUCAGCAUGGUGCCACUGGCGAUGAUGGCCAUGGCGACGGGGAUGAUCAGGGACAUGACGGCGCCGACAAUGAUGCACAUGGCACCGGUGAUGAGGGCAACGAAGGUGGUGCAGAUGGCGAAGAUGGCGAAGAUGGUGCCGCCGACGAUGAUGUUCAUGAUGAAGAUGGGAAUAACCAGCAGCCGCGGGAGUGGAGUGACAAAGCCAAGCUCACAGUUUAUGGCAUGUUAUUGGAGAGGACGACUCUAGGACUCUUGAAACGUGGAGUGACCAAGGAAGUGGCUCGUUUGACUGGUAUGCCGCAGAGAAGCGUCCAGGACGUAUGGAGGAAGGGAAAGAUAUAUGGAGGGAUGCUUGGAGUGUUGAACAGGAAGCCCAAAAACUGUGGUCGUAAAAGGAUCGCCAUCGACUCGGAGAGUAUAAAGGCGAUCGACAAGAGGAAGAGAACAACCAUCAAAGACUUGGCAAACGAGCUGAAUGUGUCAGCUACCACGGUUUGGAGGCGGUUGCAAGAGAAGCAGAUUAGACGUCACAGCAAUGCCAUCAAGGGAACUCUCACCGAUCUAAACAAGAGACGUAGGGUUGAGUGGUGCCUCUCACAGUUUGAGGAAGCGAGCUUGCCGGAACAGCCGUCUUUUAAGGGAAUGUACAAUGUUGUUCACAUUGAUGAGAAGUGGUUCUAUCGCACGAAGAAGUCUCUCAAGCUAUACCUGGCAGAGGACGAAGAGGAGCCGGAACGAUUCACACAGAACAAGAAUUACAUAGAGAGGGUUAUGUUCCUUGCUGCAGUAGCGCGCCCUCGGUUUGAUGUGGGCGGUACCAUGACAUUUGAUGGAAAAAUUGGAAUAUGGCCGUUCACUUUUGAGGAGGGGGCUAAAAGGGAUAGUCCUAAUCGUCCAGCUGGGACAAUUGUGACGAAGGUUAUCUCCAGGGUGACAAGGGAUGUUAGUAGAGACUUCUUGGUGAACAAGGUUAUCCCCGCCAUCAAGGCAAAGUGGCCUCCAUCUGAACGUGGUCGUCCUAUAUUCAUCCAGCAGGAUAAUGCCAGGACUCAUGUCAAUGUUGAUGAUCCGGUUUUCCUUGCCGCGGCCCAGGCAGAUGGGUGGGACAUUCGUUUGGUGUGUCAGCCACCGAACUCCCCUGAUCUUAACAUACUUGAUCUAGGAUUUUUUGCUGCCUUACAAUCAUUGUUUCAGAAGUUAUUUCCAGGUUCCAUUGAUGACAUAGUCCGCAAGGUGUGCCAGGCAUUUGAGCAAUACCCAGCUGAGAGGUGCAACAGGAUAUUCCUAACUCUACAAUCUUGCAUGCGUGAGGUUUUGAAGGAUAAGGGAGGCCAACACUACAAGGUGUCGCACAUGAGGAAGCUAGUCCUUGCAAAUGUUGAUGCCCUCCCGGUGAAGUUGCCUUGUGAUCGAUCCAUCGUGGACGAGGCGAGGGCUUUUUUACUUCAGUAG
Molecule: ribosomal RNA, 1821 nt
Filed under: Triticum aestivum (bread wheat)
Lineage: Eukaryota; Viridiplantae; Streptophyta; Magnoliopsida; Poales; Poaceae
Description: partial small subunit ribosomal RNA
Source: RNAcentral